Molecule: ribosomal RNA, 326 nt
Filed under: uncultured eukaryote
Lineage: Eukaryota
Description: partial 18S ribosomal RNA
Rfam family: Eukaryotic small subunit ribosomal RNA
Source: RNAcentral
CCCUUAGAUGUUCUGGGCUGCACGCGCGCUACACUGAUGCGCUCAACGAGUUUAUGAACUUGCCCGGAAGGGUUGGUUAAUCUUUUUAAAACGCAUCGUGAUGGGGAUAGAUUAUUGCAAUUAUUAAUCUUCAACGAGGAAUUCCUAGUAAGCGCGAGUCAUCAGCUCGUGCUGAUUACGUCCCUGCCCUUUGUACACACCGCCCGUCACUCCUACCGAUUGAGUGAUCCGGUGAAUAAUUCGGACUGCAGUCGUGUUCAGUUCCUGAACGUGGCAGCGGAAAGUUUAGUGAACCUUAUCGCUUAGAGGAAGGAGAAGUCGUAACA